Molecule: long non-coding RNA, 13862 nt
Filed under: Medicago truncatula (barrel medic)
Lineage: Eukaryota; Viridiplantae; Streptophyta; Magnoliopsida; Fabales; Fabaceae
Description: long non-coding RNA (MTRU_LNC004816)
Source: RNAcentral
GAAUGUGGUUGUUGAGAUUAAGGUUUUGAAGAUGAAGAGGAAAUUAGGUGUGGCUCCUAGAAAUGGGGAUUAUAAAGGGUUUAUAUUUGAAUUGGUCUCGGAGAAGCGAAUUUUGGAAGCGAAGAUGACUGGGGAGGUUAUUGUUGGUGGUAAUUUUGUUGUUGAGGAUGAUGUUUUUAAUGUGUUGAUUGAAUCUGUUUCGGACAUUGAUCCUGUUGGGGCGAUCGUGUUUUUUAAUUAUGUUGUUGAGAAAGAGAGGUUUUUGAGUGUUUCGAGUUUGAAUAGCUUGAGUAGGAAUUUGUGUAGGGUGGGUAAGGUGGAUGAAUUGUUGGAGGUGUUUCGUGUUUUGGAUUGUCGAAAUUACUUCAAGGAUGUCGAGGGUUACAAUGUGAUGGUGUCGUGUUUGAAUAGCCUGAGUGAAAGAAGGCUAUGCUGUUCUUCAGGAGAUGAAGAAGAAAGGGUUGAAUCCUGAUGUCUCGUCUUAUAAUUAUGUGAUGGAAGCGUGUUGUAAGGAGGAUUUACUGCGCCCUGCGAGGAAGCUCUGGGAUGAGAUGUUUGCGAGUGGAUGUUGUGGGAAUUUGAAAACAUAUAAUGUUUUGAUUCACAAGUUUUUGAAAGAGGGGCUAAUUGAAGAGGCUCGGACGUUGUUUAAUCGCAUGGUGGACAAGGGAGUUGAACCUGAUAGUGCGAGUUACACUUUUCUCUUACAAGGGUUCUGCCAAGAAGAUAAACUUGAAGAAGCUUUUGAGCUCUAUAGCAGGUCUGUCAGACAGGAUAUCACCAUUGCAAGAGACAUUUUGGGCUCAUUUAUAUUGUCACUCUGCAAGAAAGGUAUUAAUGUAUAUAGUUUGUAAUCAAGGUCAUAGUCUCGUAAUCUUUCAUAUUGUGGAACAUUGCGAUUAAAUGCUGCUGAUGCAGCCUCAAUUGAAAUUGUGUUGAAGUCAUGGAGACAUCAAAGAUAUUGAUGUUGUGGCCCAAGUCGCGGCUGUGGACCUUUUUUCAAAAUCAUCCUUACAAUCAAUAUUUGUAACUUGGCAUGUUACGUGCAAGGAUGUUUUUUUACUUUGUCAAAUACCAAGACAUGUAACAGCAUAUCAUGAUGUGUGUUUUCUGUGCAGGACAUAUGACAGCUGCUUCAAAAUUACUCUGCAGUCUCAAUCAUGAUAUAGGACGCCCAGAAUCGCACGUGGCUUUUGUUGAAAUGUUUGGCAGAUGCAAGAGAGAUUCAAACUGCUAUUGAGCAUUUGAGGUGGGUUCAGCACAAGUCACCUUCAAUGCUACAAGAUAUAUGUACCGGACUUUUAGCUUCCAUUUCUGUUGCUAAAUGCCCGGAGCCGAUAUUGCAGUUUCUUCAAAGAAUGCAAGGUGUGUUUUGAUUUCAUGCGUAAGAGUACUUUGAAGGUUAUGUGCUACCGAUAAUUACUAUUUGAGAAGACAUUUGGAUUUGAGUGCCAUUGGUAACUAGCCUUCUUCACUAGUGACAGGCUAAACGAAGGUAAAGUACAAAUAGUAAUAAUAAUAAUAAUAAUAAUAAUUAUAAUUAACUUGCCUUUUAAAUGCUUAAUUAAGUUGUUUUCUCAAAUAUCGUUCUAAAUGAUAGACUGUAUAAGAAUCUGGUAGUUUCUGACUUUUAUUUUCUUCCUUUCUAAUUCUGUACAGACAUGAAAAAUGUAAACAAUCCCAGCCUGGGGUUGAAGCUACCAAAGAGCGCAUCAUAAUUGAAUUUUCCAACCAACACACACAGACCUGGUUUACGUUAUGAAAUUCCUGCAUUUCUCACUGAACUUCACUGCAAUGUCGUGGCUGCUGAGAUGUGGACACAUAAUGAUAAGGCGGAAACUGUAGUUCAUGUGACAAAUGAUUUUUGAGUGAUGAAGUGGUUGUUGCAUGAAUCAGAAUGGUAUAAGAACUGCAUUUUUAAGUAAUUUGAUGUAUAGAUAAUAGCUAUAUUUGAGUUUUAAUCUAACUCUCUUUAAUUUUUGUACCUUUUUUGCAGGUUGAGAUUGAGAGAUAUGGUUGGACUUUUGUAAAGAUAUGAUGGAGAUGUAUUUAGGAAGAGAAAUGAUAUUUGUACAAUCAUUUUAUAACAACUUUUGUGACAACUUUAUCUCUAAUACACACAUUAUAUUUUGACUUUCUCUCUCCAUUACUUUGAUUUUCGUAUCAAUACAUACUUUUCUUUGUAAAAACAGUUGUUCAGUUGGUUGUCAAACAAAUGAAUGUUCAAAUAACACUACUCUGGAAGGAAUGCCACCACGAUCUUAAUUGUGGCCUUUUUUUACAACUACUUUGACAAAUGAUCUCUUUUUAUAUGAAGAUUUUGGAUAUAGUUGUAUUUUGAUGUAAACUUAUUUGAGUAUUGUUGGUUUACUGGCAUGGACAUGUUUAUUUUGAUGUAGACUUAUUUGAGUAUUGUCACUGAACUUUUAUUGAUAUGUACCUGUUUAGAAAUAAUAUUAUUAGUAUGCAAUGUAUUUUUAUAUGUUCUUUCAAUUAAGACACUAGUUGAAAAUAAAAUGAUAAAUCAAAGAUCAAGUUGGUAUAAUCAAUUUGAACAUAAUGCUAUUUCUCAAGUUCCAAAGACACCAAUUGGUUGCAAGCUAAAUCAUUAGACUCAUCCUUCUACCAUUCUUUGUCUCCAACAAUUUUGGUAGCAGCACCAACUAUGUUAUGUUUCUGCAAUUGAGCUGCAGUUUCUGCAUAAUUUGCCACUUCCCAAUGCACUUCCAUUACCCCUUCUCCCAGACACUGUAUUCUUUGAUUGUACAAGGCUAUAGAAAAAACUUUAAUAUUUCUAUCUUAUAUUGAUUAUCUAGUCCAGCUAAUAAUUCCUUGCGUCUUAUGAGAAAGUCUAAGUUGGUCACAAAUAUAAAUAAAAAUUACUUAGAAGUACAUACAUAAAUAAGAAAAAUUUAAAGAUAAAAGUAAAAAAUGAUGUGACUAACUUUUUUUUUUAUAAUAUUUUUCAUUUAUGUAUGUGUGUCCAAAUAUUUUUGAUUUGGAGUUCUGACUAAGUAAGAAUUGCUCUGCACCUUACAUACAUACGCCUAAAUAUUAUUAGGGAAAAAAGAUAUGGAAUUUCAACAUAAACUAAUUUAGUUGUAAAAAAAAGUAAAAAAUAAUAAUUUAGAUUGACGUCCAAUAAAAUAUUUAUAAUUAAUUUAAAGAAAUAAGUUAUAAUGUAGGCUGACAUAACAAUAUGAUGAAUUCUUAUUAAAUAUUGGUAUAAAUUCAUCUUUAAUAAAUUGAAAUGGUUGUUAAAAUAAUGAAAAAGGCAGAAUUACAAAAUUCUUACAUCAACAAAACAUGAACUUAAGAUGUUCGUUUGUGGAAUUUACUAGUAUGGUAACCCGUGCGGACGCACGGUUGGACGUUGUCUUUGAAUAACAAAAAAUUAUACCAAACAUUUGCAUCAAACAAUUAACGACAAUCACACCUCAAUGUUCGUAUAACAUAUGUCUUAACAAAAACCUCACCUCGAUGAUUAUACUUAUCGACACACUGAUGUUCAUGUCAUGUCUGAUGUUGGUAUCGAUGAAUACAAAUCAUAGUUCACAAACAUAACUUUGGCGGUUAGUCAACAUUCACACCGGAGAUUUUUUAACAAAAUGAUACUCCUAAAAAAAAAAAAAAAAAAAAUUCAAAGUAAUACAGAUUACAAUUUCUUUAGUUGAUCGAGAUCACUUACAGGAUCAUGUUGUUCAUUCGUCAUAUGGUUUUCGAGUUCGUCACUCCUUUAUGCAGCUUAUUUGACGUUGUUUUGUUUGGAUUAUAUGGACUGAGCGCAACAAUAGGUUAUUCAAGAAUAUGGACAACUCUACUCACCAAUUGUUAGAUAAAGUCAAACUACAUUUUUUGUCAGGAACUUAAGUGACAAUUUUCUACUUUCACUUUAAUCUGUGUGACACCUCAUGCACGCAAUCUCAACAAUUAACAGAAGUUUUUAACAUCGGAGACUAAGCUGAUAAGAAAAUACACUUUCUGAUUUAAAGAUUACUUUAUAAUUAAUUCUAAGUCAGGAUUUUUGUAACAACGAUAUGGAGAUCAAAGUAAUCACUUAUUCGUAAUGAAUAUAUACAGUAAAUGUUUCUAGAGACUUUCAACGUGAGUGUCCUCCUCUCUCUCACUUUUCUUUCACCUAUUUUAAUUAAAUUUUAAAAAUCCAACAAAGCAAUAUAAUCACCUAUUUUUAUUUUAGUAUUAGUUUUAUUAUUUUUAAAAUUAUCACCAUUUGUUUAAAAAAAAACUCGAGUAUUGCUGUUCCUACAUAUAGUUUGGCUGUGCCACACGAGUAAAAUACCAAAAUGCCCCUCGGCAGUUUGCUACCGAAGUUUUUAGGAACCGGCGGCAGUUAACUGCCGAAGUUUUUAGGACACCGGCGGCAGUUAAGUGCCGAGGAAAACCUCGGUAGUUAACUGCCGAGGAGAAUGUUAUAAGAUCAGAACUUCAUAGGAGUUUCCAAAACUCCAUUGUUGCGUUUUUAAUUUUUGAAGGUGCGAUUUUGAGUCAUUUGAAGCCAUUAGAAGCCAAUUUUAAUCACAAAAACAAGUAAGUUUUUUGAAUCCUAUGCAAUAGUUGCUUUGUGGUCGAAUUGUAUGUUAUUUUUUGUUAAAUUUCGAUUAUAUAGGUUCGAUUAUAUUGAUUUGUUGAUUUUAUGAUAUGUUAGGAUAGUUUAGGUUAGAAUGGUUAGAAUUGUUAGGAUAGUUUAGGUUAGUGUAGGUUGAAUUGAUCGCCAUAUUUUUUUAAAUGUAGAUAUGUCUCAGAAUCAGAAUCAGGGUAACGUUCACGAUGAUGAGACGAAAAAAGAAAAGUCACCUAUGACAUGGCAUGGAAUUGUUUGCGAUGGUUCCGAAAAAAAGAAGGGUUCGAAGGUGCCGGUGUACAAUCACUCGAGGUUGAGGAGGAGCGGGAGGACAUGCUAUUUCGGUCCUCAACCAAAACAAGGUACCGCAGGGACUGUAGCGGACAAGCCGAUUGAUUUGUGUGACGAGGAAGAAUGAAUGUAAUGGCUUUUAAUGCCUAAUUGUUUUGGAUUUUUUUAUGUUUUAUUUUUGUGUCGCGCACAUUUUGUUUGACAUUAUGGUAUUUAGAAUAAAAUUGCAUUUGGAAUAAAUAAAUUUGAAAACAAAAUAAGAUAAUUAUUGUUCCAUUCAAAACAAAAUAUAUGUUAUCACAUUACAUUGCAUUUUACAUUACAUUCCGAAAUUUACCUUCCAGCUGCAACAAUCAUCUUACCACUGAAUGGGGCAAAUUCAAACUUGCUAAGCAGCAGGACUCCAGUAUUCGAUGAGCAUCUUGAACGAUGGUAUUCAAGUGUCAAAAGAAUGAGGUGCAUUCCUUGACACUUGAAUACCAUUGUCCAAGAUGCUCAUCGAAUACUGGAGUCUUGCCGAUUAACAAGUUUGAAUUGCCCCAUACCAGGGUAAGACAAUUGUUGCAGUUGGAAUGUGCAUUCCAACCACAACAAUUGUGUUACCUUUGAAUGGGAUAAAUUCAAACCUGCAAAACAACAGGACUCAAGCAUUUCGCCAAACACCUCAUGUUUUCCCUUUGAAAAUAAUAAAUUUUUGUGAGGCUUGCUUUAGAUGAUGGUAUUCAAGUGCCACCGAAUUGAGGUUCAAUCCUUGACACUUAAUACCUUCAUCUAAACCAGCAUAACAAAAAUUUAAUAUUUUCAAAGGAGAAACAUGAGGUGCUUGCGAAAUGCUUGAGUCCUGUUGUUUGACAAGUUUGAAUUACCUCAUUCAAAGGAAUACAAUUGUUGUAGUUGGAAUGCACCUUACCCUAACUAAUGACGAUCUUGUGGCGGAAUCAAACUUUUGAUGAUAUCUUCAGUUGAUCUAAGCAACUUCACCCGCAUAUCGAUCCACUGGAACAUGCUGUGCUCCCAAAACAUGGUCGUCACGUUUUCGUUGAAUUGCACAUGAACGUCGAUCCACCCCGCCAUUGUUUUAAAUCUACACAAUAAGAAACUAAAAACAAUCAAUCAAAAACACAUUAUACAUACACUCUAAAAUUCAUAAAAAUAACCCUAAAAUUAUAAAUCAUAUACUCUUACUAAAAUAAAAAAAUUUAUAUCAUAUAACAUAAACAUCAUGCAAAUAUUUUAACAACAUUAAUCAACUAACAUAUACCCUAAAAUUUAAUUAUAACAUGUAAAUCUACUAAAAAAUAAUAAAUGUACUCAAAAACUAAAAAAUAAUAACAUUUAUAACAACUAAAAUGUAAGUUAAUAGCAUUAUAAUUACUUACUUGUGAUUUUGUUGAAUAAAGUUUGUUGGAUUUGGUUGUGUUUGUUAGAGAGAAUUUGAGAGACAUUUGAAGAAAUUUUGGAAGAUAAGAUCAAUAAUGGAUGAGAGGAGAUUCUGCCAGAUUUUGUAGUGCAGAAGUUCCUCGGCAGUUAACUACCGAGGUUUUCCUCGGCAGUUAACUGCAGCCGGAUUUGAGCAAAUUUCGGCAGUUAACUGCCGAAGAAAACUGUCGUAGAAAACCUCGGUAGUUAACUGCCAAGGAAAACCUUCACAAAGUUCUCAAGUUCUCUCAAAUCUUCGCCAAUUCUUCUUUCACGAAUUGCGAGCAAAUCAACGGGACACUUAUAUUAUAUUCUGUCAAGUUCUCUCAAGUUCUCUCUCGUCCCUAUUUUUCCUACUCUCAACUUAUUUUUAUGUUUUAUGUUCAUAAAGCAACCUAUAUUUGCACAUUAAAGCAACCUAUUUUUGCACAUUAAACAAAGUAAAAAAAACCCAUGAAAUUAAAAAUAAUGUCAUCAAAGUAGAAAUACACAAAUAUACAUAUAUACAUAACUCAAUGUCAUCAAAAGACUAAAACUAAAAAAUAAGUCCUAAAAAAGGAAAAUAGUACUACUGGUCCUGAUCCUGAUGAUGGUGCCUCCUCCUCGGCCUCUGGGCUCUCCUCCUGGUCAAAAUCGGCGCGAUCUGCUCCCUCAUAUGGGUCAUGGCCUCAUACCACUGCUGAGGGGUCAUGCUCAUGACCUCCUCCUGGCCUAACUGCGCAUCAGCGUAGGCAACAGCGCCACUAACCAUGUCAUAGGUGUCAGGCGAGCUUCUCGCCUCAUACCGCUGCCACUGCUCUGCAAUGAUCUGCUCUUCAUUUGCAGGCCUCGGAAGAUCUCCUGGAAUAGGUGGCAAGAUCUGAGGGUGAGACACCCUAGUGUACCACAGGACAUAGCCAUCCGCCACCCGCCGUGUAUCCUCUCCUGCCUGCACACCCCGAGCGUCCGCCUUAAGCGUGUGAGUGCGGAAGUCGAUGAACAUCUGCACAAUGGAAGGCGGUGGGAGGUCCCUAACAUCAGUCGGAUGUCUGGGGAUGGUCUGCACGUAUCCGUACUGCCUCAAAACCCUCUCGGGCAAGUGACGGUACACCCUACGGACGCCGCACAUAAUCCAUCCAGAAUACCAGAAAACCUCCUCGAAGUCCUGGAUCUCUCUGUGCUCCUCGUACGGCCUCCAGCAUACAUCAUCUAACUGUAUACGAUCGAGCAGUGACCGAUAUGUGAUCCCCUCCCCAUGACCCUUCUCGAGCUUCCACCUCGCUGCAACCGGAUAGUUUUCCAGGUAGUCAGUGUUGAGAUCAACACUGAAAAACCCUGGAAAAUGCUUCAAAAACCAUGUCUGCACAAACCAUUCAAAUAACAUUUAUAAAUUAUUACGCACGGAAAAAUAUAACAAAAAAUUAAAAGUUCACAAAAAAAUAAAGUUAACAUAAAUAUAAAAUUUCAGUUUUCUUACAGUGAGCAGUGUCACGCUCCCCCCAAGCGCUCUGUGUCCAGGCCUACAUGCAUCCGCCAACUCGCCGUAUAGGUAGGCGAGGGUCAUAGCUCCCCAGGAAUAAUUACGCAUCCCUGCGUAGCCGUCCGCCAUGGUCGUCAAAUAUAUCAGCUCGAUGCGCUUGUUGCUUCUAUCGCCAAACAACAAGCAUCCGACCAAGUACAGAAGGUAACACCGGACGCAGUAUGUCCUGACCCUCUCCAGCUCCUCAACCUCCUCAGGAUCCUCCGUACCCACCAAUACAUUGGCCCUACCAAGGUACGAGGUAUAGAAGUCCCUCAGCCUGGGGUAGCUAAUGUACCCACCGUACUCCUGGUUGCAGAUCUUCUCAGCCUCAUGCUGGGCCACACCAAGAUACGUCAUCAGCAGUGCCGCUCCCUCAUGCUUGGGCAUCUUCUUCCCAUGGGCCAACAUCCGCCCCUCAAUAGGAAGAUGCAUGAGACAUGCGACAUCAUCCAAUGUCACAGUCAUCUCCCCCAUCGGCAUGUGGAAGGUGCUGGUCUCCGGAUGCCACCUCUCGCAUAAAGUAAGCAGCAGGGCAUGAGGCACGGUGGAGUACCCCAAGUAGACCAAGUCAUGUAGCCCGCUCUGCUGAAGCGCAUCCCAAAACCAAUUCUCAUUCCCGUUAGGGCGUCCGAGAGUGAGAAUCUUCGCCCCAUGAUUAAUCGGUUUAAGCACGCGGGUCUUACGAACCUGAAAUAAUAGAAAAAUAAAUUUGGUUUAAACAAAAACACAUAUAAACAAAACAAUUAAACAUAAAAAAUAGAAUUAAAAAAAAUAAACAUAUAACAGUGUAUAUAAUAAUUAAAACAAACACACAUUUAAAGAAAAUAAUUAAACAUAAAGAAAAAGAAUUAAAAAAAAAACAAAUAUAGAGGUGGAUAUAAUAAUAAAAACAAACACACAUUUAAAGAAAAUAUUUUAACAUAAAGAAAAACCAAUUAAAAAAAACACAUAUAAAAGUGGAUAUAAUAAUUAAACAAACACACAUUUAAAUUAAAGAAAAUAUUUUAACAUAAAGAAAAAACAAUUAAAAAAAAUAUACUUACAUUAUUUGAAUUAUACAAGAGUGGCAACGCCACAUGACUGGCAUAAGAGUGGAGCAAGGACAAGUCAGCCGGUCCACCAGGAAAGGGAGGGUCCGUAGGUAACACCUCCGGUGCAGCAGCUGCUGCAAUGUCAUCCUCGUCUCCUGCAUCCUGCUCAUGUGGUAUAUGAUCCUGGUCAUAUCCACCGUCCGUCACAUCAUGAUGUACCUGAUCCUGAUAGUUCAGGUACUCCACCCCAGUCUGGUCAACAGGCUGUGACGGGUCAACAACCUGUGACUCCUCAGGCUGUGUAGCCUGAGAGCUUCCUGAGUCAUCUCCCCUCCGACCUCUACCCCUCUUUGGGAUGUGGGCACUCUGUCUCUCCCUGCGGUGGCUCUGAGUCAUGGCACGCCUACCACCAAUCAUCCUCGAUGGAUCAAUGGGGUCCUGAUCGGCCAUAUCUACAAAAAAUAAAAAAUAAAAAUUAAUAUCAUUCAACCACUUUAUCAACAAACAGUAAACCUAAACAAAACCUACACUUUCACAUUCAACCUAAACAUAACCUAAACAUAACCGCUUUCACAUUAAACCACUUUACCAAAAUAAAGACAUUGAUUGAACCUAAACAUUAUCAUACACAUUAUCAUUAACAUUCAAACGCAAAAAAUCAAAUGCAUUAUCAUACACAUUCAACCUACACUAAACAUAAUUCAAUAUACACAUUCAACCUAAUUCAAUAUACACUUUUUCAAUAUGCAUUCAACUUAAUUCAACAUACACGUUUUCGAAUUACAAUCAAGAUCGUAUCCAAUACCUAAACUAACUAAAUAAUCAAUAAAAUUGUCAUUGACACAUUUUAUCAAACACUUUGUGUGCAAAGUAUCAUACUCAAAAUGUGUUAUUUUGCCACCAAUCAAAACCACAUUAUACCCUAACAUCAUUCAAUCAUCAAUUAAACCAACUACAUUCAAUUAUAAACUACAUGCACUCAUAAAAAAUUCAAUUCAUACAUUAACCCUAACCACAUGAAAACUACCAUUUUUUUUAAAAAAAAAACCUACCCAAACUAACAUUAUGAUUAAAAAUGAGUCAAGAUACUUACUUGUGAUUAAAUGGAGAUGAUGCACUUGAUUUUGUUGAAAAAUCGAAUUUGGAGAAUUUUUAUGGUUUGGAACAAGUUUUGAACAAUGAAGCAAAUGAAGAAAACUGAGUUUCUGCGUUCUGGUUAUGAUCAGUUUUCCUCGGCAGUUAACUGCCGAAGAAAUCCUCGGUAGUUUGCUGCCGCCGGUUCACUCAAAACUUCGGCAGUUAACUGCCAAAGGGCAUUUUGGUAUUUUACUUGUGUGGCACAACCAUACCUAUAUGUGGGAACAACAAUUCUCAAAAAAAAAUCACCCAUUCCACCUCUAAAAAAAUUUAAAAAAAAUAUUUAUACACUGGAAAUUACUAUAAUGCCCUUAACUAAUAUGAAUAUUACCAAUUCAAUUUCAUUUCCUCUUCCCCUUUCUCUUUCAUCUGAUGCGCGUUCUCCCAGCCAAAGCAAAACCACCGAACAACAUCCACCACCACACCACUGCCGGCGAGCCGCGACCACUCUUCUCCUUCUCCAUCCAUCACCGCCGCACCCCCCUCAAUCUUCUGUAUUGAUUCUUUAGUUUAGAGAGCUAUCUCCAUCCAUCUCUCUCCACAAACCCUAAUUGUUGUAACUUGUAAGGUAAUGUGAAAUUGAAUGUAAUUUCCUUCAAUUCUGAUUCUGAUUUGAUGAUUACAUGUUCUUUAGUAAUGUGAAAUUGAAUUUUUUUAGUUUUCGAUUGCUACUGAUUACUACUACAGAAGACAUGAAUGUUCUGCUUAUUAUUAUGGUUUAGAACAUGAACUCUGAUUUCUACUGAACUGUUACUUGUGUUUAAAUAAUUGUAUUGAGUGUGAGAGACGAAUUCCAAUUGAAAGCCUCGGUUUUAAAUAAUUGUCUUAAACAAUAGUAGAAUAUGAAAGCCUGAUAACUAGUCAAAUUGUUUUAGAGUUACUAUAGGUAAAUAAACACAAUUCAAAACGGUUUAGGAUUGACCCUCCAUCACUUUUAUAUUAUAUAUGAAUCAAGUUUUAUUGCAUUGAAAUGAGCAGAAAUGUGAAAAUACCUUCAGGCUUUUGCUAAAACACUUGUUAACAACCUAAAUUAUUUGUGUAGGAAUUUCAAAAGUGUGUAAUUGGCACAUCGAAUUGGUAUCUCUCUCUCAAGUUCCAAAUCCAACCAGAAGAUGUAGAAAGGGCAUUCGACUUCAAGUUUUUUUUUUCUUCUGCCAUAACUACUUGACUCGAGAACUUUGUUUAGGGAGAAAUUUGAGAUUCUCUUGAACCUUAGUAAAGAGGUAACCACUUUUAUAUACCCCUUGUAAUGACGAAAUAUGGUUGUUAAUCUUCACUCAAUAUUCAAAACGAUAAACUAACCACAGACUAACAAAUAUAUUCAUGUAUGUUUCUUUUAUGGCAUUCAGCUGUGUUAAAAAGUGUGCAAAUGUAUUAUUGCUUAAAAUCAUUGGUUAUUUGAGUAGGCGAUGAAGAGAUACAACAUUAUUUAUAAUCAAUGUUGAUUUAAUAUUUUUUUUCUCUAACUCAUUACCAAACCCUGUAAAGUUACUUCUCAACUUUUAAAAUAAAUAAAAUGAUACUUUGCUUAAAAAUCAUUCUUUUUGCUCAGAUUACAUAAAAAAACAUAAAAAGUCACAAUUUUUUUUUUUAUUCUCUUUAAUAUAUUUGUCUAUUAACUUGCACUUUGUACAGUUGAGCAAAAAUAUUGCUUCCUUAGAUAGCGUGGCUAGUAGAAUCUUUGGUUUUUGAAGACCAAAGACUUCUUGUAGUGUCUAGUGAUUAAAAUUUCAAAACCUUGAUUACUUCAGGUCCAUUCGGUGAUACGAAAUCAUGGGUAGGUUAUGAUAUAUGCAACUAUGAAGGAUUCUACUGUGAAAACCCACCAGGUAACAAAUCCGUUAUUGCUUUAGCCUCAAUUGAUUUCAAUAGUUUCCAAAACAAGCACACGUACAUUACACACAACAAAAACCAAAACAAGUUCAACAUGAAACCUGCAACAUCAACACUAGAAUUAGCAAAAAGAAUAAGCAGAACAAUAAUCACAACCUCAAAAAACAACAACACAAAAACCAAACAUAAACAUCAUCAUUAUUCAUGGAACUCACAAAUCGAACAAAACAUUCACAACAACCUCAAACACAAUCUAACACCAUCACUUGUUUCUUCAAUCAUUGACCCUUUUCUCCUUAAUCACCAUUCUCUUGCCUUAGGUUUUUUCAAUUGGGUUUCUCAACAACCCAAUUUCACUCACAAUGCUUCCACUUUUCAUUCCAUUCUCAAAUCACUCUCCUUAACACAAAACCAUUCACACUCACACUCUCUUAUUCAACUUGUUAAAAAAGCUCAAUUUUUGAAUAUUCAAAUACACCCUUCUGUUUUUUGUGCUGUUAUAACAAGCCACAUUGCACGAAAUAACUUAAAUCAAGCAUUUUUAAUCUUCAACGAUGUCGUUGAAUUGAUUGCUCAAAUGGGUGCCCCUAUAUGUAAUUCUUUACUAGCUGCACUUGCUGGUUGUAAUAUUGAUAAUGCACGUAAGGUGUUUGAUGAAAUGAUUGUUAGGGGUGUACGUUUUAGUACGUUGGGUUUUGGUGUUUUUGUUUGGUGGGUUUGUAAGGAGGGUGAUAUGGGGAAAGUGUUGGGUUUAGUGGAUGAGGUUGGCGAAUGUGGUUUUGAGAUUAAUGGUUCAGUUGUGGCGGUUUUGAUUGUUCACGGUUUGUGUGAGGUUGGGAAGGUGGAUGAGGCAAUGGUGAUGUUGGGUGAGUUGAGGGAGAGAGGGUGGAAGCCUGAUUUUAUGGCGUAUUGGGUUGUUGCUAAUGAGUUUAGGAAGAUGGGGAAUGUGGUUGUUGAGAUUAAGGUUUUGAAGAUGAAGAGGAAAUUAGGUGUGGCUCCUAGAAGUGGGGAUUAUAAAGGGUUUAUAUUUGAAUUGGUCUCGGAGAAGCGAAUUUUGGAAGCGAAGAUGACUGGGGAGGUUAUUGUUGGUGGUAAUUUUGUUGUUGAGGAUGAUGUUUUUAAUGUGUUGAUUGAAUCUGUUUCGGACAUUGAUCCUGUUGGGGCGAUCGUGUUUUUUAAUUAUGUUGUUGAGAAAGAGAGGUUUUUGAGUGUUUCGAGUUUGAAUAGCUUGAGUAGGAAUUUGUGUAGGGUGGGUAAGGUGGAUGAAUUGUUGGAGGUGUUUCGUGUUUUGGAUUGUCGAAAUUACUUCAAGGAUGUCGAGGGUUACAAUGUGAUGGUGUCGUGGUUGUGCGAAGCUGGGAGAGUGAAAGAAGGCUAUGCUGUUCUUCAGGAGAUGAAGAAGAAAGGGUUGAAUCCUGAUGUCUCGUCUUAUAAUUAUGUGAUGGAAGCGUGUUGUAAGGAGGAUUUACUGCGCCCUGCGAGGAAGCUCUGGGAUGAGAUGUUUGCGAGUGGAUGUUGUGGGAACUUGAAAACAUAUAAUGUUUUGAUUCACAAGUUUUUGGAGGAGGGGCUAAUUGAAGAGGCUCGGACGUUGUUUAAUCGCAUGGUGGACAAGGGAGUUGAACCUGAUAGUGCGAGUUACACUUUUCUCUUACAAGGGUUCUGCCGAGAAGAUAAACUUGAAGAAGCUUUUGAGCUCUAUAGCAGGUCUGUCAGACAGGAUAUCACCAUUGCAAGAGACAUUUUGGGCUCAUUUAUAUUGUCACUCUGCAAGAAAGGUAUUAAUGUAUAUAGUUUGUAAUCAAGGUCAUAGUCUCGUAAUCUUUCAUAUUGUGGAACAUUGCGAUUAAAUGCUGCUGAUGCAGCCUCAAUUGAAAUUGUGUUGAAGUCAUGGAGACAUCAAAGAUAUUGAUGUUGUGGCCCAAGUCGCGGCUGUGGACCUUUUUUCAAAAUCAUCCUUACAAUCAAUAUUUGUAACUUGGCAUGUUACGUGCAAGGAUGUUUUUUUACUUUGUCAAAUACCAAGACAUGUAACAGCAUAUCAUGAUGUGUGUUUUCUGUGCAGGAC